AACUGGGAAUGGCUCAUUAAAUCAGUUAUGGUUUAUUUGAUAGUCCCUACUACUUGGAUAACCGUGGUAAUUCUAGAGCUAAUACAUGCAAAAAACCCCGACUUCGGAAGGGGUGUAUUUAUUAGAUAAAAAACCAAUGCCCUCUGGGCUUUAUGGUGAAUCAUGAUAACUUAACGAAUCGCAUAGCCUUGAGCUGGCGAUGGUUCAUUCAAAUUUCUGCCCUAUCAACUUUCGAUUGGUGAGUAGUGUUCACCAAUGGUAUCGACGGGUAACGAAGAAUUAGGGUUCGAUCUCGGAGAGGACGCCCGAGAAAUGGCGUGCACAUCCAAGGAAGGCAGCAGGCGCGCAAAUUACCCAAUCCCGAUUCGGGGAGGUAGUGACAAUAAAUACUGAUGCAGGGCUCUUUUGGGUCUUGCAAUUGGAAUGAGUACAAUUUAAAUCCCUUAACGAGGAACAAUUGGAGGGCAAGUCUGGUGCCAGCAGCCGCGGUAAUUCCAGCUCCAAUAGCGUAUAUUAAAGUUGUUGCAGUUAAAAAGCUCGUAGUUGAAAUUUGGGCCUGGCUGACCGGUCCGCCUCACCGCGUGUACUGGCUCGGCCGGGCCUUUCCUUCUGGGGAAGCUCAUGGUCUUUAUUGACUGUGUGGGGAACCAGGACUUUUACUUUGAAAAAAUUAGAGUGUUCAAAGCAGGCCUUUGCUCGAAUACAUUAGCAUGGAAUAAUGGAAUAGGACGGCUUUCCUAUUUUGUUGGUUUCUAGGAGAGCCGUAAUGAUUAAUAGGGACAGUCGGGGGCAUCAGUAUUCAAUUGUCAGAGGUGAAAUUCUUGGAUUUAUUGAAGACUAACUACUGCGAAAGCAUUUGCCAAGGAUGUUUUCAUUAAUCAGUGAACGAAAGUUAGGGGAUCGAAGACGAUCAGAUACCGUCGUAGUCUUAACCAUAAACUAUGCCGACUAGGGAUCGGUGGAUGUUACUAUUUUGACUCCAUCGGCACCUUACGAGAAAU
Molecule: ribosomal RNA, 1001 nt
Filed under: Isthmomyces lanceatus
Lineage: Eukaryota; Fungi; Ascomycota; Dothideomycetes; Microthyriales; Microthyriaceae
Description: SSU rRNA
Rfam family: Eukaryotic small subunit ribosomal RNA
Source: RNAcentral